UGGGGAAUAUUGGACAAUGGGCGCAAGCCUGAUCCAGCCAUGCCGCGUGUGUGAAGAAGGCCUUAUGGUUGUAAAGCACUUUAAGCGAGGAGGAGGCUACUUUAGUUAAUACCUAGAGAUAGUGGACGUUACUCGCAGAAUAAGCACCGGCUAACUCUGUGCCAGCAGCCGCGGUAAUACAGAGGGUGCAAGCGUUAAUCGGAUUUACUGGGCGUAAAGCGCGCGUAGGCGGCUAAUUAAGUCAAAUGUGAAAUCCCCGAGCUUAACUUGGGAAUUGCAUUCGAUACUGGUUAGCUAGAGUGUGGGAGAGGAUGGUAGAAUUCCAGGUGUAGCGGUGAAAUGCGUAGAGAUCUGGAGGAAUACCGAUGGCGAAGGCGACCACCUGGGCUCAUACUGACACUGAGGUGCGAAAGCGUGGGGAGCAAACAGG
Molecule: ribosomal RNA, 430 nt
Filed under: Pseudomonadota bacterium
Lineage: Bacteria; Pseudomonadati; Pseudomonadota
Description: Proteobacteria bacterium partial 16S ribosomal RNA
Rfam family: Bacterial small subunit ribosomal RNA
Source: RNAcentral